GAUGAACGCUGGCGGCGUGCCUAAUACAUGCAAGUCGAACGAAAAGAUGCGGAGCUUGCUCCUCUGACGUUAGCGGCGGAGGGGUGAGUCACACGUGGAUAACCUACCUAUAAGACUGGGAUAAUUUCGGGAAACCGGAGCUAAUACCCGAUGAUAUAUUGCACCGCAUUGUUCAUUAGUUAGAGACGGUUUUUGUUUCACUAAUAGAUGAAUCCGCGCCGCAUUAGCUAGUUGGUAAGGUAACGGCUUACCAAGACAACGAUGGGUAUCCGACCUGAGAGGGUGAUCGGCCACACAGGAAGUGAGACAGGGCCCAGACUCAUACGGGAGGCACCAGUAGGGAAUCUUCCGCAAGGGGCGAAAGCCUGACGGAGUAACGCCGGGUGAGUGAUGAAGAUCUUCGGAUCGUAAAACUCUGAUAUUAGUGAGGAACAAAUGUGUAAGUAACUGUGCACGUAUUGACGGUACCUAAACAGAAAGCAACGGCUAACUACGUG
RNAcentral lists this ribosomal RNA (497 nucleotides) under uncultured bacterium. Its description in RNAcentral is "partial 16S ribosomal RNA". It matches the Rfam family "Bacterial small subunit ribosomal RNA", at positions 28 to 507 of the family's 1533-position model. The record is from RNAcentral.